Oncorhynchus kisutch (coho salmon) is the source of this 4700-nucleotide RNA transcript. It is a transcript of the gene named ubinuclein-2-like, with no coding region annotated. The transcript has 15 exons. NCBI's taxonomy places the organism in Eukaryota, Metazoa, Chordata, Actinopteri, Salmoniformes, Salmonidae. The record is from RefSeq and is a predicted model, not a curated record.
CACUGAAUAAUGAUAAUAAUGGUCAAGAUGGCUACUUCAGAUGCCUCCUUGCGGUAGCUACCGAACAAUUUAAUGGAAACAACUAAAACUACUCUUCCUCGUGAUUUAAAGGCCCCGGAGCUAACCUGGGAGUUGCAGAAGAUACCACUGUGUGGUUUAAGGCAUUUUAUUACCUGACAUAGUUUACCAUCUAGCUAGCUAACGUUAGUUGUCGAACAUUCCCAAUUUUAGCAAGCUACAGUAACGUUAGUUCAGUGAAGUCUCGUCCUCCCUUGUGUUUUCCUACCGAGGGGCUCUGUGACGGUCAGCAUCAAAUGGCCGAACCGAGAAAAGUACCGUUUGUCACAAUCUCUUCCUUUAACAACAAUGCACCGCCUUCAGAUUCAAAGAAACGCCGCCGGGAAGAUGAGGCCGAAAUCAGUUUGGGGGAAGAUGGAGGGGGUGGAAGUGCAGCAACCAGGCCAGGAGGUGGUACUGGUGCUAGUCCAUUCGGUAUCGUGAAAGCCGGUGACGGGGAUUCAGCGGAAACAAAACGUGUAACAGUGCGCUUGAACCUCUCCUUGCCCGAACCCAGCGAACGGGGAUCUGCUGAAUUCAACUACAGUGAACUUGUUCAAUCUACUCAGGUAAAGAUCAGUCAAGGCUACAAGUGAUAACAGCAGGCUGGGCCGGUGAACGCGUAGGCAGCUUGAAGUGUAAGCUCCCGAGGCUAUGGUGCUGUUGUCAACAAGAGCGAUGUUGGCCAACUGUAGCUACAGUAUUCUUAGAUAUGAUGUGAAGAAGCCUCCUGCUCCAGGACCUCCUAAAGACCUGACGCCAGCCCUGGACCCCAACGACCCCUUUGCAGACAACGAGAAGGAGAGAAAAGAAGUAGAGGCGCUCGCCAAGAAAUUUGAGAGCAAAUAUUCACAGGCCAAUACAGGGAAAAAGAAGCGGAAGGACAGGGUGCAGGAUCUCAUCGACAUUGGUUUUGGCUAUGAUGAGACUGACCCAUUCAUUGAUAACUCUGAGGCUUAUGAUGAGCUGGUGCCAGCCUCCCUCAACACUAAGCUGGGAGGGUUCUACAUCAACACUGGCACGCUGCAGUUCAGAGCAGCCUCCGAGUCAGAGGGAGAGGACUUCAAGAAGUUGAAAGAUGGUGAGGAGCGUGUGAUAAAGAAGCGAAUGAAAAAGCAAGAUGGCAGUAACAUAGAUGAGAAAAAGCCCAGGAAGAUCAGGAUGCCAAAGCAAGGAGUGUCUGGCCUGAAUGUCCACCGGCCAGAGAAGAAGAAAAGGAAGAAGUUGAUGAAGGACUCUCUGAAUCUGGCCGCCAUGCUCCGCCGCUUCACGCGGGAGAAGGAGGAGAACCGCAAGAAGAACCCCGGCCUGCCCCGUGGCCAGCACAAUGCCAACAGUGCCCUGCUCAACGCACACCCUAAACCCAGCAACAUCAGCAUGGCCGAUCUGGCUAACGACCCUGCCAUGAUGUCACUGCUGGGCUCAGCCAAUAACAACGACAUGCUGCAGGACAUGAUGGGCGACCUAGACUUUGGGCUGCUGGACUCUCCUCAGCCCCCCAGUCCUGCGCAGGGGGAGAACGGUGCUCCGGGUAGGGUCCAGGGUAGGGUCCAGGGGGCACAAGGAGGUCUCCUGCCCCCUCCUCCUCUGCCUAAUGGACUGCCUGCCCCUCUCAGUAAGCGUAUUGAGGACCUCCGUGUGGCUUCUCAUCAGUUUGAUCAAGAGGGCAGGAAAAAGUUCUUCACGCUGGACAUGAACAACAUCCUACUGGAUAUUGAGUUGCAGGUCCAGGAGCAGCCGGCAGCAGUGCGCUCUUCAGUCUACUCCCAUCUCGAGGCCUUUGUGCCCUGCAACAAGGAGGCUCUGCUCAAACGCCUAAAGAAACUCAGCCUCAAUAUCCAGGAUGACCGUCUGCGUGCUCCGCUACUGAAGCUGAAGCUAGCUGUGUGCAGCGUGAUGCCAGAACAGAUUGCCAGAUACAAUAUGGACUGCAUCGCCAAAGUGGCCAAGCAGCAGUCAGAAGAGGGGGAAAAGAACGGGUCAGAAGAGGAGGAUGAGGAGAAGCCUGGGAAGAGAGUGAUGGGACCUCGCAAGAAGUUUGUCUGGGAUGAGAAGCUCAGGAUGUUGCUGUGUAACUUGGUGAGGGUGAAGCUGGGCUGCUAUGAGCUGGAGGGCCAGAGCUCCCAGUCUCCAGAGGACUAUCUCAAGGCCUUCAUGGAGACUGAGGUGAAACCACUGUGGCCCAAGGGCUGGAUGCAGGGCAGGAUGCUAUUCAAAGAGAGCCUCAUGGUUCAUUGUCACCUCACUGGCAAUCCAGCCAAGAAAAAGAUGGUUCCUACUCCCAAGUCUAAACCCAAAGAGGGUAGUUGGGUCCAGAGAUCCACCCCCUCAGUUGGUGCGACCCCCUCCCCUGCAGCCCCAGUGGCCUGCCGGCCCUCCCAGUCCCCCGCUGAGACCAUCUGUCUGCUGGACUCCCUGGAUGAAGAGCUGACCGCCCCUGCCCUGGACUCCAUCUCCCAGGCCCUGGCCCUCCUCAGCAAUGCAGCCAAGGGCCUGGUCCAAGGGGACAGUCCCCCCUCCCCUGAUAGGCCCAAGACUGCCCUGUCCUCCCUCCAUGCCUCACCUCUCCUCCAGAAGCACAAGAAGAGCACCAUCAACACACCCGGCUCCAACACACCUCUCUUCGUCUCUACCUCCUCCUCCCCCUCCUCUCUCUCUCGGCCUCCCACCGUCUCCCCUUCUCUGUCCUCAGCGAGGAGCGAGGGGUUGGGGUCGAUGAAGGGUGGAGGUGCUCUGGCUCAGGCUCACAGACAAUCAGUGCAGAGCACUCAGAGGCUUGCUGGGACUGGACUGAGUAAAGCCAAUGCUCCCGGCUCUCACUCCCAGCUUAAGCCGCGGCCGUCCCCCAAUCAGAAGGGCUUUGGCAGCAAUAAUACUAAAGCCAACAGUGGUGACACCCCCCUCUCCUCCCCUUCUCCCUCCUUCUCCCACUCUCUCUUAGGAGCCCAAGCUCAGCAGCAGUCCAACUUCAUCACCCCCAUGCAGGCCACUCUCACCAAGUCCUCCCACAGCAGCACCUCGCCCAUCAUCAAACUCACCCCUCGCCUCCCCAACCCCUUAACGCCCACCACCUUCUCACCCUCCACCAAUCCCAGGCCUCAGGCAGCUUCCAGUAUGCACCAGUACUCCUCCAAAAGCCCAGCAGGGUUCCGCCCACCAUUCUCAGGUGCUCCGGGAGGGCCAGCCAAACUUGUCCAGGGCAGCUACACCCCUCCAGGAGGGCAGAAGACCCCCUCUCAGAUCAUCAGCAGCAGCGCCAACACCAGCCUUACCAACACCUCAUCCAUCAGCAAGCAUUCGGGAUCCAGUCCCUCCCCUACCACAACCUCGGCCAAUCAGCGACAAAGGCCGGCAGGUGGAACCAUUCAGGGGGCUAAGCCUAUUAAAUCUAUAUCCACACAGUCUGUCUCUUCUCAGUUGCCACAGGUAAGUGAAAAAUAAAAGAUGGUAGCUGGGUGGGACAAGGUCAUGAUGGAGCAAAUGUUCAAAAUGAGUUUUGUCUACUGUUGUCUGUAUAUUGAUGUAUUUUAUCUCUGUUUGUAUAUGUUGUCUGUUGGUCUGGGUCUAUAUUUCUAAUUAAAAAUUGGGUGGUUCGAGCCCUGAAUGCUGAAAGCCGUGGUGUAUCAGACCGUAUACCACUAGAAUGACAAAACAUUUAUUUUUACUGCUCUAAUUACGUUGGUAACCAGUUUAUAAUAGCAAUAAAGGCACCUCAGGGGGUUAUGGUAUAUUUCCAAUAUACCACGGCUAAGGGCUUUAUCCAGGCACCAGUGCAUAAGAACAGCCCUUAGCUGUGGAUUAUUGGCCAUAUACCACACCCCCCCGGGCCUUAUUGCUUAAUUAUAUGCCUUUGUUCUCCAGGUGUCCUCAGCCAGCAGCAGUCUUCUUGGCUCUGCUCCGUCUCUCCCACUUGGCUUCGGGAUGUUGGGGGGGCUGGUUCCUGUGUCCCUGCCCUUCCAGUUUCCUUCACUCUUAAACCUGCCCCCAUUAGGGGGCACAGCUGGCUCCAGCACCGGGGCCAGCGGCUCCUCAACCAGCAACAGCUCAGCAUUCUCCCUGACCCAGAAACUCUACUCUUCCUGUCCAGAUGUCAAUCAAACCCAAGGAGGGGAUGUGAAGAGGAAGUCUCUUUGACCACACCUGUUUGGAACACUGAGGACAUCCACUAUGUUAUGACAGCUAUCAGGACGACUUUGAAUGACUAACAGAAACUGCCCAAACACAGGAUGGGGUUGAAAUGGGGAAUUGGACCCUCUCGAUAAUCUUCCGGCUGUUACUUAUUUUUUAAACAGCAAUUUGAUAAUUGUUUAAAUAUUGUACAUUAAGGCUUAAUGACAAGUUUGUUUUUGUCAAUGUUUACAGAACAGACCUUUAUCACUGUGGUCAGGGAGGGAGAAUGAAUGAGAGGUCUACUUGUUGGUGUGUAUGUGUGAAUGCACUAUUCUUUAGCUUCAGUGUGCAAACCUCCCUCUCUGAUACCUGGGUUAGUGUGUCUAUUUGGUGCUUUUUUUCUCAAUGUAAUUAUCUAGACCUGUAAGAAAUGCUACUAAAUGCGAACGUUGUUGAAUUUGUUUCGGGACCGGAGCUGUAUUUUUGUGCUGUACAUAACUCCACCAAAUUCAAUAAAACAAGCCAUGAUCUAU